GAUGAACGCUAGCGGCAGGCUUAACACAUGCAAGUCGAGGGGUAUAGUUCUUCGGGACUUGAGACCGGCGCACGGGUGCGUAACGCGUAUGCAAUCUACCUUAUACAGGGGAAUAGCCCAGAGAAAUUUGGAUUAAUGCCCCAUAGUGUUAUCGAAUCGCAUGGUUUGAUAACUAAAGUUCCAACGGUAUAAGAUGAGCAUGCGUCCCAUUAGUUAGUUGGUAAGGUAACGGCUUACCAAGACAAUGAUGGGUAGGGGCCCUGAGAGGGAGAUCCCCCCACACUGGUACUGAGACACGGACCAGACUCCUACGGGAGGCAGCAGUGAGGAAUAUUGGACAAUGGGCGCAAGCCUGAUCCAGCCAUGCCGCGUGCAGGAUGACGGUCCUAUGGAUUGUAAACUGCUUUUGUACAGGAAGAAACACUACUUCGUGAAGUAGCUUGACGGUACUGUAAGAAUAAGGAUCGGCUAACUCCGUGCCAGCAGCCGC
Molecule: ribosomal RNA, 490 nt
Filed under: uncultured bacterium
Lineage: Bacteria
Description: bacterial SSU rRNA
Rfam family: Bacterial small subunit ribosomal RNA
Source: RNAcentral